This 286-nucleotide long non-coding RNA is filed under the name Lathyrus oleraceus (garden pea). RNAcentral's name for it is "Pisum sativum (pea) long non-coding RNA (PSAT_LNC012748)". Lineage: Eukaryota; Viridiplantae; Streptophyta; Magnoliopsida; Fabales; Fabaceae. The record is from RNAcentral.
AAUAUUAAAAAUGCCAAAAGUAUUUUGUUCAUUUCUUGACUUCCAAUCUUUAUCUCACUUCUGUUUUUGAUUGUUUGACCAUGAUCCUCAAUGUCAUUGGUCAACACUUGUUGAUUGGUACAUGCUAUUUCAUUUAAUGCACUUACUUCUUUUCAUUAUCCAUCUUAUUCAUCUCCUUCUUCUUCUUCUUUCUUCUUUUUGAUCAAUGAGUUGAAGGUUGAUAAGUUAGCAUUGAUUAGGGAGACUUAAUCUUCCUUGAUUCAAACCUAAUUCAUCUUGAUCAAUU